GACGAACGCUGGCGGCAUGCCUAAUACAUGCAAGUCGAGCGAACAGAUGAAGUGCUUGCACUUCUGACGUUAGCGGCGAACGGGUGAGUAACACGUAAGGAAUCUACCUAUAAGCGGGGGAUAACAUUCGGAAACGGGUGCUAAUACCGCAUAAUAUCUCCUUCCGCAUGGAAGAAGAUUGAAAGACGGCUCUGCUGUCACUUAUAGAUGACCUUGCGGUGCAUUAGUUAGUUGGUGGGGUAACGGCCUACCAAGACGAUGAUGCAUAGCCGACCUGAGAGGGUGAUCGGCCACAUUGGGACUGAGACACGGCCCAAACUCCUACGGGAGGCAGCAGUAGGGAAUCUUCCGCAAUGGGCGAAAGCCUGACGGAGCAAUGCCGCGUGAGUGAAGAAGGCCUUCGGGUCGUAAAACUCUGUUAUAAGAGAAGAACAAAUUGUAGAGUAACUGCUACAGUCUUAACGGUAUCUUAUCAGAAAGCCACGGCUAACUACGUGCCAGCAGCCGCAGUAA
Molecule: ribosomal RNA, 513 nt
Filed under: uncultured bacterium
Lineage: Bacteria
Description: partial 16S ribosomal RNA
Rfam family: Bacterial small subunit ribosomal RNA
Source: RNAcentral